Molecule: unclassified non-coding RNA, 1629 nt
Filed under: Hevea brasiliensis (rubber tree)
Lineage: Eukaryota; Viridiplantae; Streptophyta; Magnoliopsida; Malpighiales; Euphorbiaceae
Source: RNAcentral
AGAAGAAGAAGAAGAAUAAGAGUUAUUGUGAGAAGGUGAGAAGCAAGGAGACUGAGAAAUGUCGGAGCAGCGGCUGUAAUAAGGAAGUUCAGUUCGAGUGAGCAAGAACCCUCUAGUGAAUAUCAGUAUACCCACCACAUGAACCACCGUUACCACCCAAUAACACCAUCUCCUCCGCCUUCCCUCCAUUUUUUUUCUGUUUUCUCCCCCUAUUCUGGGCAGCUACACAAAGUCUAAAAUGGCCCAACCCACAAACGCCACGCUCCUCCGUUUACAUCAUAUGGGUGUGGCUUUUACGUCGUCGUUUUGACCCCAGAGUUCCAAUAUCCUAUCAACUCUCUGCCCUUUCGUACCAUCUAUAGAGCGGCCAUGAAGUCUACUCUAAUGGGUUCUCUCAAAUUCCAGUUCCCUCCAAUGAAAAUCUGCCAAAUUCCCCAGAAACUCCACUUUCAGGCAUCCAUUAUCACUUGCAGCCUGAGAGGAGGGCCAAGGAAACCCUUAUGGAGGUCAAAGAGAUUAUCAACAGAAGCUAUACAAGCAGUCCAAUCUCUGAAGUUGGCCAAAUCAUCCAAUCCCAGAUUGGAAGAGGUUUUUAACAGUAAACUCUCCAGGCUUCUCAAAGCUGACUUGCUAGAUACACUUGAGGUCUUGCAAAACCAAAAUGAAUUGGAUUUGGCUCUCAAGGUCUUCGAGUUUGUGGAAAAGGAAGUAUGGUACAAACCAAAUAUAUCCUUGUAUCAUAGCAUGAUUCAGAUGUUGGGGAAGAACAAAUUUAUUGAAAUGGCUGAAGAAUUCUUUUCGAAACUAGAGAAGGAAGGUUUGAAGCCUGAUACAAGAACAUUUACUGAGAUGAUUGGGGCUUAUCUACGAGUGGAUAUGAUUGAUAAGGCAAUGGAAACAUAUGGCAGAAUGAAGGCUUCAGGUUGUACCCCAGAUAAAUUAACCUUUACAAUUUUGAUUAGGAAUCUUGAGGAUGCUGGAAGAGAAGAGCUUGUAGCUUUUAUAAAGAAAGAAUGUGCUGAAUAUAUGGAUUAUCCUGAGAAAUUCCUUGAAGAAGUUGAGCAGAAAAAACAUGUAAGUCAUCCUUUUCUAUGUGAAGAUAAUAUAAUUUUUGUUAUUGAUUUGUUUCAUGUUUAUGCCAUCAUAUCUACAAAGCAAGCAAAGAAUUUUCGUUUUGUUUCUUCUCCCUGAUAUGUUAAAAUAGCAAGAGGAAACAAUGAUCCUUUGUUUGUAAAACAGAGGAGACAAAAGUAAAGAACAUAUCAAGACACUUGUUUCCCUGCAUGUAAUGUGAUGUAAACGGUAGUUCUAACUAGGAAAUAAUUGGCCUCUAAUGUGUUCUUAAAAAUUUAUCAGUUAGCCAUUAGAUUAUUAUCCAAAAACAUGAGAAGUGUUUGCUGGCUUCCUUAACUCUUGUAUUAGAUUUCAGAUUAAAAUGGUGUUAGAGAUGAUAACAGGACUACUCUUGAAAGCUACUUUUGUGCUUGUCAGAAUUAUGUUUUCAUAAGGGUAAAUUACUGCAACUUAGCAAUCUGGUCUUUGUGAUUUGUUAGGUCCUGUUUAGCAUUGCUGUUGGAACUGCUGUUGAUAAAAUCAUUUUUUUAGAUAUACUAGUUAGAAAGUAUUAAA